This 1300-nucleotide long non-coding RNA is filed under the name Trifolium pratense (red clover). RNAcentral's name for it is "long non-coding RNA (TPRA_LNC003009)". The record is from RNAcentral. Lineage: Eukaryota; Viridiplantae; Streptophyta; Magnoliopsida; Fabales; Fabaceae.
CAGAAAUGUUAUCUGGACAAAAAUUCUCCAACAAAUAUACAACACAAAGGGUUAUGUUGGUAAUUUUGCUCAUAAAAAAACCUCCCACACGUGUGUCUUCUACUCUUCUUUUCAGUUUUUAUAUUUUAAUUUUCUUUCUUCUCUCUUUCACACGGUUCUCUCUUUCACGUGAAAAUUAAAGAAAUCCAUCUCCAUCUCUGAAAAUCAUCAUCUCCAUCAAAGCUCAAGUUUCUCCCUCUCUGCAAAAUUCAUUCUCCCUCUCUGCGACAAAACCCUAACACAAUCGUUCCCUUUCUUCGACGAAAUCAGAAAUGUUACUACGUUGAACUCAUUCAUCCGAUUCAAGGUUAGUUAAUUGUUCCAUUUGAUUCUGCUCUUCUCCUUAUUCUUCAAAAGAUAAGAUUCUGAUUUUAAUUUCCCUUUUGCUUAUGGUUAUUUGAUAUGCAUGAUUUAGGGUAUAAAUUAGGGAUUCUAAUUCGUGAAUAUGUUUAAUAUUGAUUUUCUCAACAUAAUUUCAUGAUUCUAGACUUAGACAAAACUGAAAUCAUAUUAUUUGUAGUUUAAGUUGUGAAAUUAUAUUUGUUGUAAUGUUAUGAGUUGAAAAAAAAAUAACAUGAUAAACACAGCAAGACAAAAUAAACAGUAGUCAUGUGUUAAAAUGUGGGUAGUUGUUUGAAACACUUGGUUAAUGUAGAAGUUUCCGUCAAAAAUUGAAAAUUUGACACAGGUUAACUAGCUUGGGGAUUUCAAUUGAAUUUAGUUUACCAAAUAUAAUGUUUCUUAAAUUAUUGAUAUUGUUGUUAUAGGUAUUGUUUUGAAUUUUGUGAUGAGGAGUAAUAUUAGGCUUUUGGAUUUGUUAUUGUCGUAUACUUUUUAGGGGUAUUCUGUUUUCUAUUAAUGUUUGAAAGGGUACCAAAUCAGCUACUACCUACUUCACAACAUUUGUCUAUAGAUUUUUGAGAGUUUUAUGAUUGCCUUGUUUGUGUGCCUGCCAAGUUAGAAGUUGUUUCCAAUUAUGAGAAUGAGGUGGAAGCUUGUAGAAUUUUGAUAUAUUUCUUCAAUGAUAUUAAAGCUAGCUGGGUUUCAUACAAGCAAUGAAUGUCUCACUUUGUGUUCAAAUUGCUGUGAAGAAGCGUAUUUAAAUGAGGAAGUAUGAUUUGAACCUUAGCACAUGUUCUGGUAGAUGCAUGUCAUAGUUUGGUUUUCUAUUGCUUGUUUGUAUCCAAGCUGUCUCGUAGGUCCUGUUUGUGUCCAUUUUGUCCAGCUUUCCAGUACAUGAUUUGGUGGGAGCUCUGCAACC